This 492-nucleotide ribosomal RNA is filed under the name uncultured bacterium. RNAcentral's name for it is "partial 16S ribosomal RNA". It matches the Rfam family "Bacterial small subunit ribosomal RNA", at positions 29 to 507 of the family's 1533-position model. The record is from RNAcentral.
AGUGAACGCUGGCGGUAGGCCUAACACAUGCAAGUCGAACGGCAGCACAGUAAUAGCUUGCUAUUACGGGUGGCGAGUGGCGAGCGGGUGGGGAAUACAUCGGAAUCUACUUUUUCGUGGGGUAUAACGUAGGGAAACUUACGCUAAUACCGCAUACUACCUACGGGUGAAAGCAGGGGAUCUUCGGACCUUGCGCGAUUGAAUGAGCCGAUGUCGGAUUAGCGAGUUGGCGGGGUAAAGGCCCACCAAGGCGACGAUCCGUAGCUGGUGUGAGAGGAUGAUGAGCCACACUGGAACUGAGACACGGUACAGACUCUUACGGGCGGCACAAGUGGGGAAUAUUGGAAAAUGGGGGCAAGAUUGCUCCAGCCAUACCGGGUGGGUGCAGCAGGCCUUUGGGUUGUAAAGCCCUUUUGUUGGGAAAGAAAAGUAGCAGGUUAAUACCCCGCUGUUCUGACGGUACCCAAAGAAUAAGCACCGGCUAACUUCGUG